This 1074-nucleotide long non-coding RNA is filed under the name Anolis carolinensis (green anole). Its description in RNAcentral is "lncRNA (ENSACAG00000029765.2)". The record is from RNAcentral. Lineage: Eukaryota; Metazoa; Chordata; Lepidosauria; Squamata; Anolidae.
AUGGCAGCCCCCAGGGAGCAGUCCCAGCGUAGGCUGGGGAAGAAGCAAAGCCUGGGGAAGAAGCAGAGCUUAUUUUUUUUUAACUCUGCCCAGCUGUUUCCUGGGUGCUCAGGCUGGCAGCAUGGCCUGAAUCUUACUGCUGAUUCCCAGACAUAUUCACACUUCAUGGUUCUGCUUAGACUAAGGACCUCAUCAUAUGAAAAUCCAGAAGCCAGGAAACUGUGGGACAGCAAGGGAAACCAUGGGGUGGCAUCCAGCUUUAUUACCUUACCAACUAAUUGUGUUUCCUGGCUGCCCCUUGGCUUUCUCUUAUGCUGUCCUUGACUUGUUAAAUGAGGAAAUCACCUGUCUCCUCAGAGAUUCUUCUGAGCAUGCUGCCAAAACGGAGCCAGGGCGGAGCCUUGCCGGAAGUAGUCCUGAAUCAUAUGAUGAGCUCUGAUGGGCUUCAUCCCAGUUCUGUCUCGACAACACUCUAGAAUGGGGAAAAAACUCAUCGGAUGAGGUCCUAAAAAUGAAACCAGUAUCCAUGCUUCAGCCAGUCAUAGGUCAUUUUUGUUGCUGUCGCCUGCAUGUUUGUCACGCAUUCUAUCAAUUAAAAAAAAUACUUAUCUGUGUAAGGUUCUUCAAAUUAUUAAAUCUCAGACAUGAUCACUGUCGUGACAGUCUCUAUAAUAGCUUCAAGUGAACAAAGAUUAUUUUGUUUAUUAAAAGAAUGGUAGUAUUUAUACUAUGGAUUAUUUUUUCUUGAAAGUUGAUGUGGUUGCUUAACUAAUUCUUCAGAGGUCGGGAAAUAAACUGAUUACACUUUAUAUAGUUUGUUUCUUCACUAUGAUGUCAUUGAAGACUUGCAUAUAAGGAAUCAUUCAGUUUUGAAAUAGGUGUGUUUACACAGCUCAUGCCUUCUUGCAGGACACUGGUAACAAUUAAUGUACAUGUACAGUGUUCUCUCACUUAUCACAGGGGUUCCGUUCCAGGACUUCUCACGAUAAGGGGAAAUCUGCAAAGUAGGGACACUAUUUUAAUUUUAAUAUUCAUACAUUAUUUUAAUUGUUAUGUGGCCUUUCUCCCCCUUGC